RNAcentral lists this long non-coding RNA (831 nucleotides) under Dermacentor andersoni. RNAcentral describes it as "uncharacterized LOC126517826". The record is from RNAcentral. Lineage: Eukaryota; Metazoa; Arthropoda; Arachnida; Ixodida; Ixodidae.
AAGUGCCUAGACAAAAACGUGCUCCUUGUCGUGUGCAGUAACCAGCCCAAACCCUCCGGACUCGUGUAACGCCAUUAGUUCGCCGUGUGUUUCGAGCGAUCCACCAGUGUCGUCAGUGAGUGCCCUAGUACAGCGCCCGUCCGAGCUGCCUUUGUUCUGCCGAGCUGCCUGCCCGCGCUCUCGUGAAAAGUCUGGUACUGGGGCUUCGAAUCGUAGUGUUUGAAAUACUUUUGAAGGUUGUGUUUAUGUGGAGCUGGAGUUCAUCGGAAGUUCUACAGUGCUUGCGCCAGAGAAACGUCGGUGCCUCUGUACCUGUUAGACGAAGGAGCGUUUGCGAAGUCUUGAAAGGUAGACGUCGGUGACGGUGUAUACGUUGAAAAGGGCCUGCUGAAGAGGCUGUGCCUGGAUGCUAACAACUUAGGCUUUCACUUCGCGGAGGGCCUCCUUAAAGCUCCUUUUUCAAUAGAAGACGUUGAAGGGAGGUCCUUCCUUGGGCGGCUGUCAAAUGCCUUCCACAGAAGGAUCCGUUGGAUUCCAAGAAGGUCAACAUCAUAGUAGACUACACAACGCAACAUUUCAGCCUACUUCCAGGGCAGCUGGAGAAAUCGUCCUCCUUACUAGCCCGGGGAUAUUAAAUGGAUGUGUUCAAGCACAAAUGGAAACCUGUCUUCUUCUGUUGCAUGCCACACGUAGCCACUUGGCAAUCACUAUUCGCCACAGACAGAUAGUUGACAGGAGGUUACUAGCAAGUCGUUAAGAUAUAUAAAGGUGGUUAAUAAAUAGUCGCCGCACAGUUUUUAGGAAGCAAAUAAAAAUUUUAUUCAGAGAUAA